UACACUCCUGCGGGAGGCAGCAGUGGGGAAUUUUGGACAAUGGGCGAAAGCCUGAUCCAGCAAUGCCGCGUGCAGGAUGAAGGCCUUCGGGUUGUAAACUGCUUUUGUACGGAACGAAAAAGCUCCUUCUAAUACAGGGGGCCCAUGACGGUACCGUAAGAAUAAGCACCGGCUAACUACGUGCCAGCAGCCGCGGUAAUACGUAGGGUGCGAGCGUUAAUCGGAAUUACUGGGCGUAAAGCGUGCGCAGGCGGUUAUGUAAGACAGAUGUGAAAUCCCCGGGCUCAACCUGGGAACUGCAUUUGUGACUGCAUGGCUAGAGUACGGUAGAGGGGGAUGGAAUUCCGCGUGUAGCAGUGAAAUGCGUAGAUAUGCGGAGGAACACCGAUGGCGAAGGCAAUCCCCUGGACCUGUACUGACGCUCAUGCACGAAAGCGUGGGGAGCAAACAGGAUUAGAUACCCUGGUAGUCCCAUGA
This 477-nucleotide ribosomal RNA is filed under the name uncultured organism. Its description in RNAcentral is "partial 16S ribosomal RNA". It matches the Rfam family "Bacterial small subunit ribosomal RNA", at positions 332 to 800 of the family's 1533-position model. The record is from RNAcentral.